AUUUUGGUAGAGUGGUUGUUGUGUAUUGGGGUUUUGGUUUAAUGGUAGAGGACUUGCCGGGAGCUUGGUCAUCAUAAAGAAUCAAGGAAUUUUUUUUUUCUUAAUCAUACUAAAACCAGUUUUGCUUGGAGGUUAAACUUGCAACAUCUCUAACCAUGUGGAAGGCAGUUUUUUGUUGUUGUUGUUUUGUUCAUUUUUUGGUACUGGGCAUUGAACCCAGGAGUGCUCUGCCACUGAGCUACAUCCUCAGAACUUCUUAUUUUUUGAGAUAGGGUCUCACUGAGUUGGGCACUGUGGCCAUAUACUUUUAAUUCUCCUGUCUCAGUCUCCUGAGUUGCUGGGAUUACAGGCAUGUGCCCCUGUUCCCAGCUAGAAGGCAGCCUUAAAUCAAGAACAUAAUUAUAUUUUGUACAUUGCAGUGGUCUUUUUUACUCACAAUAUGAUUUAGAUACUAUUUUUAUCUCUAACAAGUAAAAUGGGCUUCAGAAGUUGGCAGAAAUGUCCAAGAUCACAAAGCAUAGGCACCCAAGGUCACAAAGUAGAUAUGCAACAGGACAAACCUUGAAAUUCUGACCUUCUGAUCCUGAAUGGGUUUGUUUCUUACUUUUUUCCAUAGUAUAUCUGUCAGGGUUUUCUAGAAAACCCAUAUGAUACAGAUAGGUUUAUUUGAAGGAGUUGGCCUGAAUGACUGUGGGGUCUGGCACAUCUAAAAUCUAUAGAGCUGAGAGCUGAGGAUGUAGCUCAAUAGUAGACACUUGUUGAGCUUGGGAAAAGCCCUGGGUUUGAUCUCCAGGACUGCAAAAAAAUAAAUACAAUAAAGUCAACUGAUUAUAAAUAUAUAUAUA
RNAcentral lists this long non-coding RNA (845 nucleotides) under Marmota monax (woodchuck). The record is from RNAcentral. Lineage: Eukaryota; Metazoa; Chordata; Mammalia; Rodentia; Sciuridae.